GUCAUAAGCAAGGAGAACUUCACAGCAAACCUCAUUGUGCUAGAGUCACUCAACAUUCCUUUAGUUCUUGGCAAUGGAUGGUUAUGUGCACACAAGGCAGUGAUCUAUGCUACCCAUUGGAAAAUUUUCUUAACCGCACCAUCAGGGAAAAUAAUUGAGUAUCAAGGUGGUCCACUUCUACCGGAGGAGGCAUAUCCAUGCUAAGUUAUCAUGUCCUCGAGUUGUAUAAGUCAAAAAGUUAUUAGUCAAGGUGGACCUUGAACAAUUACGAAUAAUAGACAUUUUAUGGAAGUUUUGUUCACAAGUUGUAAUCUCGAGACAUGAGUGUUUGCUUUUGGAAUGCAAAUUGUGAAGUUGAAAUAGUUAUCAAGAUCUUUUUCCUGUUUCUCUUUCGGAAUCCGUGCCUCUUCCGAAUCUCGAGGACGAGAUUCAUUUUAAGGGGUAGAUUUGUAACACCCUAAAAUUUGCCUUUAGGAAAUAAAGCUAAAUUAAUUUAAUUUUUGUAUGGUUGUGCUCAUGAAACAUAGGAAAAUAAUAUUUGUCAUUAAAAUAAAACUUAUCAUAGAAUUUAGUAACAUGUAUGUGCACUCAUGCUGGAGCAUUUAUAUUUUUAUACUGUGUGACUUUGACCAAAGUUCAAAACUGUUCAAACUGAUUUGAAAAUGGUUUGGAAAUAAAAGAAAAAAACAAACAAAAGAAAAAGGAAAACAACUUUCCCCUCCCCUCCUCUCUCGGCCUCGGCCCAAGCUCCCGCAGCGGCCCAGCUCAGCAGCGCCGCGGCCCAUUCCUCCCCCUUUUCUCUCUCACAGACAGCCCCCCACUCCCUAUCUCGCCGACACUUUGGGCCCACCUGUCAGCCGGCUUCUUCAACCUCAAGCCGUGACCGGCUUGGACUCUGCUCCAAUGGAAUCCACCCGAUUUCCCGGGAUUUCCUUGCCAAGUUGCGAAACCGAGCCUCUACAAAACUCCACGACCUCUCCUGCGUUUUCCUUUUCCUCAUCCAGAAGAGCCGUGAGCCCCAAACCGUUGCCAACCUUGCUUUCGGAUCUCGCCGAGAAGCAGAGAGCGCCGCCGCCGUGGAAUUUCCUACCUAAGACCGUGUCAACGAAAAUCAACGCUGCGCCGAGCUUCGGGUUGAGGUGACGAAUACGCCGAGCCCUUCAUUUUACUCUCUAGCGCGAUCUAUCGCUCCUAAAACUUCGCCGAACAUGCACAGGGAGAAGCUGUCCGCCUUUCUUCGUGGUGCACCUCUCCAAGCCCUUCUAGCCUCCGAUCGGUACCCUAGGUG
RNAcentral lists this long non-coding RNA (1288 nucleotides) under Sorghum bicolor (sorghum). RNAcentral's name for it is "long non-coding RNA (SBIC_LNC011083)". Lineage: Eukaryota; Viridiplantae; Streptophyta; Magnoliopsida; Poales; Poaceae. The record is from RNAcentral.